AGCAGUCGCCGCGGUAAUACGAAGGGUGCAAGCGUUAAUCGGAAUUACUGGGCGUAAAGCGUGCGUAGGCGGUUUGUUAAGUCUGUUGUGAAAUCCCCGGGCUCAACCUGGGAAUGGCAAUGGAUACUGGCAAGCUAGAGUGUGUCAGAGGAUGGUGGAAUUCCCGGUGUAGCGGUGAAAUGCGUAGAGAUCGGGAGGAACAUCAGUGGCGAAGGCGGCCAUCUGGGACAACACUGACGCUGAGGCACGAAAGCGUGGGGAGCAAACAGGAUUAGAGACCCCCGUAGUCCCUGUCUCUUAUAA
Molecule: ribosomal RNA, 303 nt
Filed under: uncultured bacterium
Lineage: Bacteria
Description: partial 16S ribosomal RNA
Rfam family: Bacterial small subunit ribosomal RNA
Source: RNAcentral